RNAcentral lists this ribosomal RNA (468 nucleotides) under Papilio machaon (common yellow swallowtail). RNAcentral describes it as "partial large subunit ribosomal RNA". Lineage: Eukaryota; Metazoa; Arthropoda; Insecta; Lepidoptera; Papilionidae. The record is from RNAcentral.
UUUUUGAAAAUAAUUUAAAGUCUAAUCUGCCCACUGAUAAAUAUAUUAAAGGGCUGCAGUAUUUUGACUGUACAAAGGUAGCAUAAUCAUUAGUCUCUUAAUUGGUGACUUGUAUGAAAGAUUGGAUGAAAUAUAAACUGUCUCUAAUUAAUUUAUAAAAUUUAAUUUUUUAGUAAAAAAGCUAAAAUAAUUUUAAAAGACGAGAAGACCCUAUAGAGUUUUAUAAUUUAUUUGAUUAUUAUUAAUAUGUAAAUUUUAAAAUUAAAAUUAAAUAAAUUAUUUUGUUGGGGUGACAGAAAAAUUAAAUUAACUUUUUUAAAUAAUUAACAUUAAUUUAUGAAUAAAUGAUCCAUUAAUAUUGAUUAAAAGAAAAAAUUACCUUAGGGAUAACAGCGUAAUUUUUUUUUUUAGUUCAAAUAGGAAAAAAAGUUUGCGACCUCGAUGUUGGAUUAAGAUAAAAUUUAAAUG